RNA transcript from Hyposmocoma kahamanoa, 3317 nucleotides. It is a transcript of the gene named E3 ubiquitin-protein transferase MAEA, with no coding region annotated. The transcript is spliced from 11 exons. The record is from RefSeq and is a predicted model, not a curated record. Lineage: Eukaryota; Metazoa; Arthropoda; Insecta; Lepidoptera; Cosmopterigidae.
GUGGCCAUUAGUUUACAUGUAAACAGUUUGCAACCUGUCCGAGUCUCGAGGUGUUCACGUGUGCUUGUUCUAGAGCUAAUAUAUCCGGCCUACGCCCAACAUGAACGAGUUAAAGUCACUGGAGCAUGCCACAUUGAAGGUGCCGUAUGAAAUUUUCAACAAACGGUAUCGCAAUGCACAGCGCGUGCUAGAUAUUGAGGCUCGUCAAGUGGGCAACUCACUGAGUGAGGUGGAUGCUGCAUCCAAAAAGCCGGUUACUGCUGGAGAGAUGGACGCCUUACUUGGUGGCAUGGUGGAGAAACUAACAACAAUGAAGCGUAAAGCAUCCGAAGCAAUUACUGAGGAGGUCCAAGCGGCGGGGGUGUGCAAGAAACGUCUCGAUCAUCUCAAGGAGCAGGCCCAAGCACUCACUGAACCGAACUCACCACAAGUCAGAACAACAAUGAACCAGUGGCGCAAAGUCCGCUUGGAUCGCAUGCUGGUGGAGUACUUCCUACGCAACGGUUACUACAACUCCGCUAACAAGCUGGCCGAUGCGCACGGGUUGAGGGAUCUCACCAAUGUCGAUAUCUACAUGCCGGCGGCGGAAGUGGAGGCUGAGCUGCUCGGGCGUCGCACCGCGCGAUGCCUACAAUGGUGCGCUGACAACAGGUCCAAGUUGCGUAAGCUCAAUUCCACUAUGGAGUUCAAGAUUCGCAUACAGGAAUUCAUAGAGCUGGUUCGCGAAGACAGACGCCUAGAGGCAGUCCGCUACGCUAAGAAACAUUUCUCCACGUACGAGGAUGGCCAAUUGCAGGAUAUACAGCACUGCAUGGGCAUGCUUGCCUUCCCAAAGGACACUGACGUGGAGCCGUACAAGUCCCUCCUGGACUCGGCCCGAUGGACGGCCCUGGUGGAGCAGUUCCGCUGGGAAGCGGCGCGGCUGCUGCACCCCGCCCGUAUGCCUGCGCUGCCUGCCGCGCUGCAACUCGGCCUGCAGGCUCUCAACACACCUCAGUGCUACAAUGAAAGCACAAAGGUGUCGGCCUGCCCGGCCUGCGCCCCCCCACUCAACUCCCUGGCCAAAACCCUGCCGCACGCGCAUUGCAGCCACUCGCGACUCGUCUGUCGCAUCUCGCGCCGCCCAUUGGACGAACAUAACCAGCCGAUGGUGUUGCCCAACGGACAAGUUUAUGGCGAGAAGGCUCUGAGAGAAAUGGUAAAGGAGCAUGGAACCAUAAUUUGCCCGAAAACGAAGGAGACAUUCUGUAUGAAACGCGUCGAGAAGGUGUACGUCAUGUGAAUACUGUAUACUCUUGUAUAUAUGGUAGGAUACAUGUUGAACCUUUUUAUUUACAUCUGGCACGUAAAUGAUACGCGACUUUAAUGGUUUAGCGGCCAACAUUCUGGAUGCUUCACGAGGAGUUCCCAAAAAGUUAAAUAAAAAAGUAAAUUACAGGAAAUUUCCUAGGGACACCAGAUUUAUGGUAUUGUUAUAUAUUUUUUAUUAUAGUAACUAUACCGUGCCGGGAAGUCUUUAGAUAUUAGUGCAAAGAAAUUGUUGAAAGACAUUUCUUUUGAUGAGUAACAUUUUAUUUCGCUCCGAAUCUCUUUUAUUUUGGGAGUAUUUGUAUAAAAUAUAUUGUUAAUGAUGAUAAUUUUAUGCAUUUAUUAAAUAAUAGACCCUACUCCCUGGAGAAAGGGGAAUUGGCCAGAGUCUAGGGAAAAGGGUUUUGACGAUCGUAUCUACUUAUCACGUUAGUCGCUACCCACAACACUCGCAUGAUAUUUAUAUUGUUAAACUUCUUUAUUAAUGUACAAGACCAUGUAGUGGCUUCACUACUUUAAUCAUGUAGUAAUUUUUAAAAGUGUUCAUUCCUUGUAGUUAUUAAAAUAAAUUUUAUUAUAUCAAGCUGUACAAAUUUAUGAAAAUGUCUUUGAAAUCUAAAACUUAAAACUUAAGGAAUUGAUAAUGUCAUUAGCCAAGUAAUUGCCCAGUUUGAAUUUAAUGCUGUAUAAACUUAAAGCUAGUUGGCUUUUCCUACAGAGUUUUCUACACCUUUCGAUCCGAAGCGUUCCCUAUAGGUAUACUGACUUCGCCUAUUUAUAUUUGUACCAUUGACUAGAAUUUAUAAGUCUAUGGUUUAGUGAUCACAGCAAUAAUAAUUCAUUUAGUUGAUGUUUUCAUGAUUAUCCUCCUACUAAAACCCAGCAAGCUGCAACGGGCAAAGCGCUAAACUCAAAAUGUCUAAAUACAAUUCAAUGCUUCAAUCCCAAGCAAGUAUGCUCUCAGUUUUCUAUGAAUAUCGCAACCAGGAUUUAUUUUUGUGACAGAAAGUAGCCUAAAUUCAUUCUCUAAGGAAAUGUCUCUCUCAUCUACCUAUGUGUAAAAAUUAAUCACUUUUGAUUUAGCGGUUUAGUUAAUUUCGCAUUUAUAAUAUUAGUUAAAAUGUUUUUAGAUACAUCGUAUAGAAUACACAGCGCUAAAUUUGAAUACGAUAUUUUCAUCAUAGUGUACACUUUCGUGUACGUCAUCAUAGGAAUAAUAUUACCUGUGUCUGAAUCGCUUUACACGUUAUUUUGACACGGUGCCAUAAGAUAAUAACUAUGGAUUCAAGUCCUUAAGUCAAAAUAAUAGAGAGAAUUACUGUUGGGUAAUUUUCCGUAAAAUUUCAAAUAGUGGAAAAUUGGAAAAAUAUAAUUUCGAAGGCUCAUAUUAUUUUCUACGUUUAGAAAUAUCUUGUAUAGCUAAAAGCCACCUGAAGAAAAACGAGAUUUAAAAUUAUUUCACAACGGCGAAAAAAACUUUAUUGGCUCCAUGGUUUUUGUUCAGUAACUUCAAGUUUUGACAGGUCGGUGUCAACGUCAAAUGUGGAAAUUUCCCUGCGGACGCUUUCGCAACCAGUUGCGAAUGAGGAUUUUUACUCUUUCAUCCCAAAUAGUUGCCAAUCAAGAGUAUUUUUUCUACUACGCAACUAGAAAUCAUGAAACUUUAAAGGAAAAAUAUUGGAAAAAUAUCCGGAGAAAUAUUUAAUUUUCUGAAAAACAUGUUUUUUCAAAAUGGGAUUUUUUCCAUGACCCAACACUAGAGAGAAUAAACCACAGACCACAGAAUAAACAUAGAAAGUAAUCUAAAAAAAUAAUAACAAUAACAUAGUACUAAAGUUUUAUGAGAUGAAUUUUUUGCAUCUGAUGUAGGAUGUCGAGCUGUUCAAAGUUUCUUAUCAUAUAUAUUAUCAGGAUUAAUGUGAACAUUCAGACAAUUAUCCAACAAAUUCAGUAUCGUAUCGAGUAGGAUUGAAAGGUGCAAAUUGCUAAAUUUAAAAGAAUUUCAGAGC